RNAcentral lists this microRNA precursor (59 nucleotides) under Drosophila melanogaster (fruit fly). RNAcentral's name for it is "microRNA dme-mir-9375 precursor". The record is from miRBase by way of RNAcentral. Lineage: Eukaryota; Metazoa; Arthropoda; Insecta; Diptera; Drosophilidae.
CCGAGUAUAUGGAAUUUCUGUUUUGCCUAGUAUGAACCGAAACUCGAUAUAAUUCAGAA